UGGAGCAGUAUGGCCAGUGUGUGGCGGC
RNAcentral lists this non-coding RNA (28 nucleotides) under Homo sapiens (human). Lineage: Eukaryota; Metazoa; Chordata; Mammalia; Primates; Hominidae. The record is from RNAcentral.